CUGUUAAUUACCCCCUGUAGAUUAGGGCACCUUCGAUUAAGAGACCUUUAUAGAUGGGAUUGAAUGAAUCAUAUCUUGGUUUAUUGAAUCCUAAGUAUAUGUAUUAGGAUUCAGUUAAAUUUGAGUUUGAUUAGGCCCUAAGUAUAUGUGUUAAGACCUAAUCGAUAUUAAACUCUAUGUAUUAGAGUUUAAUUGGUUCGUGCGAUAUGGGUAUGAGAUCUGGGUAUUGGUUCAUGGGAUUUGGGUAUUGGUUUAUGGGAUAUGGGUAUUAGGUUGGAUGUAUGGUUCAUGGGAUUUGGUUCAUGAGGAUUGGUGUAUGGUUUGUGGGGUUCGGUCCAUGAGGUUUAGUUGUGGUCAUAGGAUUUGGUCCAUGAGGUUUGGUGUAUGAUUUAUGGGAUUUGGUCCAUGAGGUUUGGUUUUGGCUCAUGGGAUUUGGUCCAUGAGGUUUGGUUUUGGUUCAUGGGAUUUGGUCCAUGAACUUGGUUUUGGCUCAUGGGACUUGGUCCAUGAACUUGGUUUUGUAUGUGGACUUGGUUUGGUUUGGGUUUAUUUGGGUUCGAGUUUGGGUUCUGGUUUUAUGUGUGGACUUGGUUUGGGUUUGGAUUUAUUUGGGUCCAAGUUUGGGUUCUGGUUUUAUGUGUGGACUUGGUUUGG
Molecule: long non-coding RNA, 654 nt
Filed under: Ananas comosus (pineapple)
Lineage: Eukaryota; Viridiplantae; Streptophyta; Magnoliopsida; Poales; Bromeliaceae
Description: long non-coding RNA (ACOM_LNC034548)
Source: RNAcentral